Molecule: long non-coding RNA, 436 nt
Organism: Lolium rigidum
Lineage: Eukaryota; Viridiplantae; Streptophyta; Magnoliopsida; Poales; Poaceae
Exons: 2
Source: RefSeq, a predicted model, not a curated record
CGUGCUGCCCUCUUCGGAUGUGGAGCGCCGGGUGAAGGAGGCCAUGGGGAGUCCUGCUGACCGAGAAGUUCCCCGGUGCGCGGCCGGGGAAGCUGUUUUUCGUGUGCGUCGAGGACAUGGCCGUUCGGGGGUUCUGCUGCCUGGCAUGUUCGAUGGACUGUCCAAAGUUCAAAUGUUUCUUCGUUCAGUUUUUAUUUCUUCUUCAGUUACUUUAGUCUUCAGUAGGUGAUUCUCUCUUCUAUCAGCGUGUCUCACUUUCAUUUUACAGUAUCAUGAGUGUUUGUAUUAGUUUUCAGUUUUAAGUAACCAUUUUAGUCCAUGUUAGUCCUUCUAGUGACGCCAAGUUUCUUCUGUGUAUCUUUCUUGAGUCCUCAUUCUCUCAUGCAGUGUAUUAGCAGUUUUAACUAUUGUUCAGUUAUUUUCUCAAUACAACCUA